GAUGAACGCUGGCGGCGUGCCUAAUACAUGCAAGUCGAGCGAACAGACGAGGAGCUUGCUCCUCUGACGUUAGCGGCGGACGGGUGAGUAACACGUGGAUAACCUACCUAUAAGACUGGGAUAACUUCGGGAAACCGGAGCUAAUACCGGAUAAUAUAUUGAACCGCAUGGUUCAAUAGUGAAAGACGGUUUUGCUGUCACUUAUAGAUGGAUCCGCGCCGCAUUAGCUAGUUGGUAAGGUAACGGCUUACCAAGGCAACGAUGCGUAGCCGACCUGAGAGGGUGAUCGGCCACACUGAACUGAGACACGGUCCAGACGCCUACGGGAGGCAGCAGUAGGGAAUCUUCCGCAAUGGGCGAAAGCUUGACGGAGCAACGCCGCGUGAGUGAUGAAGGUCUUCGGAUCGUAAAACUCUGUUAUUAGGGAAGAACAAAUGUGUAAGUAACUAUGCACGUCUUGACGGUACCUAAUCAGAAAGCCACGGCUAACUACGUG
Molecule: ribosomal RNA, 496 nt
Filed under: uncultured bacterium
Lineage: Bacteria
Description: partial 16S ribosomal RNA
Rfam family: Bacterial small subunit ribosomal RNA
Source: RNAcentral